CCGCUAAUACCGCAUAACCCGCUGGUGCCGCAUGGCACUGACGGAAAAGAUUUAUCGGUGUGAGAUGGACCCGCGUCUGAUUAGCCAGUUGGCAGGGUAACGGCCUACCAAAGCGACGAUCAGUAGCCGGCCUGAGAGGGUGAACGGCCACAUUGGGACUGAGACACGGCCCAGACUCCUGCGGGAGGCAGCAGUGGGGAAUAUUGCACAAUGGGGGAAACCCUGAUGCAGCGACGCCGCGUGAGUGAAGAAGUAUUUCGGUAUGUAAAGCUCUAUCAGCAGGGAAGAAGAAAGACGGUACCUGACUAAGAAGCCCCGGCUAACUACGUGCCAGCAGCCGCGGUAAUACGUAGGGGGCAAGCGUUAUCCGGAUUUACUGGGUGUAAAGGGAGCGUAGACGGCUGUGCAAGUCUGAAGUGAAAGCCCGUGGCUCAACCGCGGAACUGCUUUGGAAACUGUAUAGCUUGAGUACUGGAGAGGCAGGCGGAAUUCCUAGUGUAGCGGUGAAAUGCGUAGAUAUUAGGAGGAACACCAGUGGCGAAGGCGGCCUGCUGGACAGAAACUGACGUUGAGGCUCGAAAGCGUGGGGGAGCAAACAGGAUUAGAUACCCUGGUAGUCCACGCGGUAAACGAUGAAUGCU
This 641-nucleotide ribosomal RNA is filed under the name uncultured bacterium. Its description in RNAcentral is "bacterial SSU rRNA". It matches the Rfam family "Bacterial small subunit ribosomal RNA", at positions 160 to 817 of the family's 1533-position model. The record is from RNAcentral.